Molecule: long non-coding RNA, 1796 nt
Organism: Ictalurus punctatus (channel catfish)
Lineage: Eukaryota; Metazoa; Chordata; Actinopteri; Siluriformes; Ictaluridae
Source: Ensembl
CCCUCAAAAAACUCCUUAUCACAAGGAACAGGUCACAUGCGAUCCCUGUGCUUGCUGCUUUCUUUCUUUCUUUUUGAUAAAAAAAGAAGAAGAAUGUAUUUACUUUCAUUGUUUUAAGAGCCUUUGUUUCACCACAGCGGGAUAAAAGCGAAAGAAUACACCGAGAAACAAAAGCGUCUCAUUUACUCGGAGCGAAACUGGUGUGCUGUACGACUCACGGCUCACCGCUCGGGUUAUUCGGCGGCGCUCUGGAUGCGGGUCUGCGCUCGGGUGUAUUAUUUCAUUAAGUGCUUUUCAGCCCGGGGGAGGGGGAGGGGGAGGGGGCUUCGUGGGAUGGAACCUCCAGGAUGUGUGUGACAAGGUCACGGCCUCUGACAAAUCUCCGCCUGGUCCUGAGUGGCCACAACACACACACACACACACACACACACACACACGAACGCAUGUGGAGACGAAAGAAGACUUUUAAGCUACUGUCAGAGGCGUCGAGAGAUCAGACGGCCGAGGAGAAGCGGAGAACGGAGAGGUGGAUCGACGUGGAGAAAAGAAGGAGGAGUGUAUUAAAGAGAGAGGGAGGCACUUAGGGCGGACGGGGCGGACGGGGCGGAGGAGGUGGGGGUGGAAGCCAGUUAGACAGAAUUCUUCAUUGUUCGGGCCGAGAGCUCGCCGUUCUGUUGAUCCCGACUGAUCCAAAGAAACAAAACUGCAUUGUUCCUCGCAGAUGGAAGCGAGUGUCGCCAAGGUGAAAUGACAUGAAAUUAAACAAGACAGUAUUUUGUAAACACCAACUCCCAGAAUUCCCUGCGGGAGUCGCUGAGUACAGCAUGACUCACCUGUCUUCAGAUUCGGCAGUCUUCAUUCCCCCUCGGUGUGCGAGAGUGUGUGUUCAACAGCAGGAUGUGUCUGCAAACACAAUCAUUAAAAAAGUACAAGGGUUAGCGUGUGUGUGAGUGCGUGAGAGAGAGAGAGAGAGAGAGAGAGAGAGAGAGAGAGAGAGAGAGAGAGAGAGAGGAUGUGGGUUAAUAUGUGUGACUUGGUGAGUGUGGGAUGAUUACGAGAUGAAAGGCGUGAUGUGCGGGGCUCGUAAUGAGACUGCGGGGUGAUUAAUACUGACACUGUGAGCUGCCUCUAAUUACUCUAAUUCAAUCAGUCCUAUUCCACACACACACACACACACACACACAUGGUCUUACUAUCCUUUGAGGACCCUCCAUUGACCUAAAUCUAAUCCUAACCUUAACCUCAGUAAGAUGCUGUGGUAAAAAAAAAAAAAAUGUAAACAACAACAACAACACAGUACCAACCAAAUGUCAGAUAUUUCUAACCUUGUGGGGACAUUUGGUCCCCAUCAAGAUAUAAAAACAUGUGUGUGUGUCAGUCCACAAGAAAAGCUAUUGAAGACAUCACUUUUUACAUCUUCUUUUAAAAGGAAAUGGAGUGGAUUUGUUUACAAAAUUCGUAAUGGUUUUAAUGGUUAUAAUGGGAAUUGUAUUAGUUUUAAUGGAAACGGUAAUGGACCCUGUGGGUCUCUACAGGUAAUUUGUUGCCUUCUAUUGGUGACAUGUUAUAUCUAGUGGAUACCAUUAAAGACUGGUAAAGGUUUUAACGGUCAGCUGAUGGUUUGUGAUGGUAGUCGUAGUGGAAACCAUUAGAAUUUCUGUGAUUGGUUUUUGUUGGGGUUUUUUCCAGCAGGGUUUCUGGGAGAGAAUAUUGAGAUAUACAUACGUAAAAAAAAAAAAAAAAAAAAAAACCUCAACCGAAUACUAAAUGUCAAACAUCCAGUGAGGCAACACUAA